GAUGAACGCUGGCGGCGUGCCUAAUACAUGCAAGUCGAGCGAACGGACGAGAAGCUUUCUUCUCUGAUGUUAGCGGCUGACGGGUGAGUAACACGUGGAUAACCUACCUAUAAGACUUGGAUAACUUCGGGAAACCGGAGCUAAUACCGGAUAAUAUUUUGAACCGCAUGGUUCAAAAGUGAAAGACGGUCUUGCUGUCACUUAUAGAUGGAUCCGCGCUGCAUUAGCUAGUUGGUAAGGUAACGGCUUACCAAGGCAACGAUGCAUAGCCGACCUGAGAGGGUGAUCGGCCACACUGGAACUGAGACACGGUCCAGACUCCUACGGGAGGCAGCAGUAGGGAAUCUUCCGCAAUGGGCGAAAGCCUGACGGAGCAACGCCGCGUGAGUGAUGAAGGUCUUCGGAUCGUAAAACUCUGUUAUUAGGGAAGAACAUAUGUGUAAAUAACUGUGCACAUCUUGACGGUACCUAAUCAGAAAGCCACGGCUAACUACGUG
RNAcentral lists this ribosomal RNA (497 nucleotides) under uncultured bacterium. Its description in RNAcentral is "partial 16S ribosomal RNA". It matches the Rfam family "Bacterial small subunit ribosomal RNA", at positions 28 to 507 of the family's 1533-position model. The record is from RNAcentral.